RNAcentral lists this ribosomal RNA (495 nucleotides) under uncultured Salimicrobium sp. Its description in RNAcentral is "bacterial SSU rRNA". It matches the Rfam family "Bacterial small subunit ribosomal RNA", at positions 408 to 893 of the family's 1533-position model. Lineage: Bacteria; Bacillati; Bacillota; Bacilli; Caryophanales; Bacillaceae. The record is from RNAcentral.
AUGAAGGNCUUCGGNUCGUAAAGUUCUGUUGUGAGGGAAGAACAAGGACCGUGCGAACAGANCGGUCCCUUGACGGUACCUCACGAGGAAGCCCCGGCUAACUACGUGCCAGCAGCCGCGGUAAUACGUAGGGGGCAAGCGUUGUCCGGAAUUAUUGGGCGUAAAGGGCACGCAGGCGGUUCCUUAAGUCUGAUGUGAAAGCCCGUGGCUCAACCACGGANGGCCAUUGGAAACUGGGGAACUUGAGAACUGAAGAGGAGAGUGGAAUUCCACGUGUAGCGGUGAAAUGCGUAGAUAUGUGGAGGAACACCAGUGGCGAAGGCGACUCUCUGGUCGGUUUCUGACGCUGAGGUGCGAAAGCGUGGGUAGCAAACAGGAUUAGAUACCCUGGUAGUCCACGCCGUAAACGNUGAGUGCUAGGUGUUAGGGGGCUUCCACCCCUUAGUGCUGAAGUUAACGCAUUAAGCACUCCGCCUGGGGAGUACGGCCGCANGG